Molecule: ribosomal RNA, 840 nt
Filed under: uncultured bacterium
Lineage: Bacteria
Description: bacterial SSU rRNA
Rfam family: Bacterial small subunit ribosomal RNA
Source: RNAcentral
GAGUUUGAUCCUGGCUCAGGAUGAACGCUAGCUGCAGGCUUAAUACAUGCAAGUCGAGGAGUAACAGAGAGUGCUUGCACUUUGCUGACGACCGGCGCACGGGUGCGUAACGCGUAUGCAACCUACCUUUUACAGAGGGAUACCCAAAAGAAAUUUUGAAUAAUACCUCAUAAGCUCUAUUUAUAGCAUUUUAUAUAGAGGAAAACUCCGGUGGUAAAAGAUGGGCAUGCGUCCUAUUAGUUUGUUGGUAAGGUAACGGCUUACCAAGACUACGAUAGGUAGGGGUCCUGAGAGGGAGAUCCCCCACACUGGUACUGAGACACGGACCAGACUCCUACGGGAGGCAGCAGUAAGGAAUAUUGGACAAUGGAGGAAACUCUGAUCCAGCCAUGCAGCGUGCAGGAAGACGGCCCUAUGGGUUGUAAACUGCUUUUAUAUAGGAAGAAAUCUAUCUACGUGUAGAUAGUUGACGGUACUGUACGAAUAAGGAUCGGCUAACUCCGUGCCAGCAGCCGCGGUAAUACGGAGGAUCCAAGCGUUAUCCGGAAUCAUUGGGUUUAAAGGGUCCGCAGGCGGUCUAUUAAGUCAGAGGUGAAAUCCUGCCGCUCAACGGUAGAAUGGCCUUUGAUACUGAUAGACUUGAGUUAUUGUGAAGUAGUUAGAAUGUGUAGUGUAGCGGUGAAAUGCAUAGAUAUUACACAGAAUACCAAUUGCGAAGGCAGAUUACUAACAAUACACUGACGCUGAGGGACGAAAGCGUGGGCAGCGAACAGGAUUAGAUACCCUGGUAGUCCACGCCGUAAACGAUGGUCACUAGCUGUUUGACUAACAUUGGUUAGU